This 408-nucleotide ribosomal RNA is filed under the name uncultured microorganism. RNAcentral's name for it is "bacterial SSU rRNA". It matches the Rfam family "Bacterial small subunit ribosomal RNA", at positions 509 to 917 of the family's 1533-position model. The record is from RNAcentral.
CAGCCGCCGCGGUAAUACGUAGGGUGCAAGCGUUAAUCGGAAUUACUGGGCGUAAAGCGUGCGCAGGCGGUUCGGAAAGAAAGAUGUGAAAUCCCAGAGCUUAACUUUGGAACUGCAUUUUUAACUACCGGGCUAGAGUGUGUCAGAGGGAGGUGGAAUUCCGCGUGUAGCAGUGAAAUGCGUAGAUAUGCGGAGGAACACCGAUGGCGACGGCAGCCUCCUGGGAUAACACUGACGCUCAUGCACGAAAGCGUGGGGAGCAAACAGGAUUAGAUACCCUGGUAGUCCACGCCCUAAACGAUGUCAACUAGCUGUUGGGGCCUUCGGGCCUUGGUAGCGCAGCUAACGCGUGAAGUUGACCGCCUGGGGAGUACGGUCGCAAGAUUAAAACUUAAAGGAAUUGGCGGG